UCACGUGCAGAGAGAGGAAGCCGGGAAUGGAAUCCCGGUGCAAGCGAGGUACCAGUCACAUUGGAAAAACCGUGUGGCAAUGGGAAGACGUGAUGCGGAGUGAAAAAUAGUAACGAAGUCCGUGAGCUGUGCGUCAAGAAAAGCCGCUAUUGUUCAUACCAUACCCGUACCGUAAACCGACACAGGUGGAUGAGGAGAGAAUCCUAAGGCCGGCGGAAGAAGCAUUGUCAAGGAACUCGGCAAAAUGACCCCGUAACUUCGGGAGAAGGGGUGCCACUGAAAAGUGGCCGCAGAGAAUAGGCUCAAGCAACUGUUUAGCAAAAACACAGGUCUAUGCGAAACCGUAAGGUGAGGUAUAUGGGCUGACGCCUGCCCGGUGCUGGAAGGUUAAGAGGAGAGGUUAGCGCAAGCGAAGCUUUGAAUUUAAGCCCCAGUAAACGGCGGCCGUAACAAUAACGGUCCUAAGGUAGCGAAAUUCCUUGUCGGGUAAGUUCCGACCCGCACGAAAGGCGUAAUGAUUUGAGCGCUGUCUCGACAAUGCAUCCGGUGAAAUUGAAGUACCAGUGAAGAUGCUGGUUACCUGCGCCAGGACGGAAAGACCCCAUGGAGCUUUACUCCAGUUUGGUACUGGGAUCCGGUACUGCAUGUACAGGAUAGGUGGGAGGCUGUGAAAUAGUAACGCCAGUUAUUAUGGAGCCGCUGUUGGGAUACCACCCUUGCAGUAUUGGGUUUCUAACCAGCCGCCGUGACCCGGCGGUGGGACAAUGCCAGACGGGGAGUUUGACUGGGGCGGUCGCCUCCGAAAGGGUAUCGGAGGCGCCCAAAGGUUCCCUCAGAAUGGACGGAAACCAUUCGAAGAGUGCAAAGGCAGAAGGGAGCUUGACUGCGACACCGACGGGUGGAGCAGGUACGAAAGUAGGGCUUAGUGAUCCGGUGGUAUUAAGUGGGAAUGCCAUCGCUCAACGGAUAAAAGCUACCCUGGGAUAACAGGCUUAUCACUCCCAAGAGUUCACAUCGACGGAGUGGUUUGGCACCUCGAUGUCGGCUCAUCGCAUCCUGGGGCUGUAGUAGGUCCCAAGGGUUGGGCUGUUCGCCCAUUAAAGCGGUACGCGAGCUGGGUUCAGAACGUCGUGAGACAGUUCGGUCCUAUCCGGCGUGGGCGUAGGAUAUCUGAGAGGAGCUGUCCUUAGUACGAGAGGACCGGGAUGGACGGGCCGCUGGUGCACCGGUUAGACUACCAAGUCUAUAGCCGGGUAGCCAAGCCCGGAAGGGAUAAACGCUGAAGGCAUCUAAGCGUGAAGCCCCCCUCAAGAUGAGAUAUCCCAUCCGAAAGGAGUAAACCCCCUUGAGGACGACGAGGUUGAUAGGGCAGAGGUGGAAGUACGGUAACGUAUGGAGCUGACUGCUACUAAUAGGGUGAGGGCUUGACCU
This 1431-nucleotide ribosomal RNA is filed under the name metagenome. RNAcentral's name for it is "bacterial LSU rRNA". It matches the Rfam family "Bacterial large subunit ribosomal RNA", at positions 1472 to 2925 of the family's 2925-position model. The record is from RNAcentral.